This 391-nucleotide unclassified non-coding RNA is filed under the name soil metagenome. Its description in RNAcentral is "partial contains 5.8S ribosomal RNA, internal transcribed spacer 2, and large subunit ribosomal RNA". The stretch from base 1 to 122 matches the Rfam family "5.8S ribosomal RNA", at positions 35 to 154 of the family's 154-position model. The record is from RNAcentral.
GAUGAAGAACGUAGCGAAAUGCGAUACUUGGUGCGAAUUGCAGAAUCCCGUGAACCAUCGAGUCUUUGAACGCAAGUUGCGCCCGAAGCCAUUAGGCCGAGGGCACGCCUGCCUGGGCGUCACACGUCGUUGCCCCCCCAUCUACUCCUUCGGGAUUGCGGGGGGCGGAUGACGGCCUCCCGUGCGCCUCGUCGCGCGGUUGGCAUAAAUGCCAAGUCCUCGGCGACGCACGCCACGACAAUCGGUGGUUGCGAAACCUCGGUUGCCCGUCGUGUGCGGUCGUCGCGCAUCGAGGGCUCGAAAAAAUUGCCGGGCUCCGGCUCGGCUUUCAACGCGACCCCAGGUCAGGCGGGGUUACCCGCUGAAUUUAAGCAUAUCAAUAAGCGGAGGA